CCUACGAGAGGCUGCAGUGAGGAAUAUUGGUCAAUGGGCGCGAGCCUGAACCAGCCAAGUAGCGUGAAGGAUGACUGCCCUACGGGUUGUAAACUUCUUUUAUAAAGGAAUAAAGUGAGUCACGUGUGCCUUUUUGUAUGUACUUUAUGAAUAAGGAUCGGCUAACUCCGUGCCAGCAGCCGCGGUAAUACGGAGGAUCCGAGCGUUACCCGGAUUUAUUGGGUUUAAGGGGAGCGUAGAUGGGUUGUUAAGUCAGUUGUGAAAGUUUGCGGCUCAACCGUAAAAUUGCAAUUGAUACUGGCAGUCUUGAGUACAGUUGAGGUAGGCGGAAUUCGUGGUGUAGCGGUGAAAUGCUUAGAUAUCACGAAGAACUCCGAUUGCGAAGGCAGCUUACUAAACUGCCACUGACAUUGAUGCUCGAAAGUGUGGGUAUCAAACAGGAUUAGAUACCCGAGUAGUC
RNAcentral lists this ribosomal RNA (460 nucleotides) under uncultured bacterium. RNAcentral's name for it is "partial 16S ribosomal RNA". It matches the Rfam family "Bacterial small subunit ribosomal RNA", at positions 338 to 795 of the family's 1533-position model. The record is from RNAcentral.